GUGCUCACUUCGGCAGCACAUAUACUAAAAUUGGACCGAUACAGAGAAGAUUAGCAUGGCCCCUGAGCAAGGAUGACAUGCAAAUUCGUGAAGGCUCUGAGGAGAAAAUCCAU
RNAcentral lists this small nuclear RNA (113 nucleotides) under Vulpes vulpes (red fox). The record is from RNAcentral. RNAcentral also lists the same sequence under 1 other name. Lineage: Eukaryota; Metazoa; Chordata; Mammalia; Carnivora; Canidae.